Molecule: ribosomal RNA, 253 nt
Filed under: uncultured bacterium
Lineage: Bacteria
Description: partial 16S ribosomal RNA
Rfam family: Bacterial small subunit ribosomal RNA
Source: RNAcentral
GACGUAGGGCGCGAGCGUUGUCCGGAUUUAUUGGGCGUAAAGAGCGUGUAGGCGGCCAUGUAGGUCCGGUGUGAAAACUCGAGGCUUAACCUCGAGAUGUCAUCGGAAACCAUUUGGCUAGAGUCCGGAAGAGGAGAGUGGAAUUCCUGGUGUAGCGGUGAAAUGCGCAGAUAUCAGGAAGAACACCCGUGGCGAAGGCGGCUCUCUGGGACGGUACUGACGCUGAGACGCGAAAGCGUGGGGAGCGAACAGG